GCCAUCUAGAUGGUCCUGAAGGGCUGGCCAGUGACCCGCUGGGCUUGCGGUUGCAGCUCAGGGCCGCUUAGUGCUGCGGGUUGGUGAGGACGCCGACUUCAGGAUCUGCUCGAGGAAACUGCCCUUCCCCGGGAAGGAGGGCAGGCAGCCACCCUGACGCUUGUUCUCCGGCUGCCUCUCCAGGCCUGCUUCGCUGCGGCUGGACCCUUCACAGAGAGCCGCGCGGGGGCAGGCUGGAUGCUGCACUCUAGCUGGAGGGAGUCAGGAAUGGCCCAGGAGCCGCCUCAUGUGGAUGUCCUAAAGGAUGAGGGGACGGAUUUCACUGCCCUGGGGUGUUGGGCAACUGGUCUGCUUCAGGGCACUUUCAGGCACGUGCCGCACCAGAGGCAGCCAGAGGAUCUGCCCCAGUGUCCUGGGCCUGCAGGCGGCGGGGCUCCUGUCCCUCUGGGCCGGGCCUUCUGUCUGGGACUCUCUUCCUGAGGGGACAGGACAGGUGAGAGGUCCCCCACCAGAGCGAGUCCUGGGCCCACGGGACCAGCCUCUACCACGUCUACUGCAGCAGGGCUGGAAGUCACCUAAGCAGGAUCACUGGAGGCUGUGUCCCGCUGGGUGGCUGUCCAGGCUGUGCUCCGGGCCCCUGUCUGCAACUACAGACCCCGUGGUGCAGGGCCCGGGCCGGGCUGAGGCUUGUGAGAAACAACCCUGGGCCCAGGCUAGGGGCCAGUUGGUGGGGGUCAUGGCCCUAGGCUGUGGGGAGCAGUCGUGA
Molecule: long non-coding RNA, 766 nt
Filed under: Bos grunniens (domestic yak)
Lineage: Eukaryota; Metazoa; Chordata; Mammalia; Artiodactyla; Bovidae
Description: lncRNA (ENSBGRG00000000296.1)
Source: RNAcentral